GUGGACGAUAUACAUAGAGAUUCUGGUGGCAGGGGGGUCAGUGUAAAACUGUCUUCUGUCCGUAACGUAUCGAGCCGUAGUCGGUCGAGUGAAUCGUUAUACUAUUCGACAGGAGUCUUUUUUUAAUCUUCUAAAGUGCUCUAAAGAGAAAGCAACGGCUCUUACACCUGAGGAUUACUUUAUCGCGAAAGAAAUUGCGUCCAACAUUAGUCAUCGAGUCUUUUGAAUUUUUCCUAUGUAAAAAAGUAAAUCGAUAUCUGCACCCGUCAAUGGGUAUCAAUACCGUCGGUUGAAAGGGCUGUUAAAGAUAUUAUAUACAUAUACAUAUAUUCGAACUGUUAGCGUGGAACGACAGUCCGUACCCGAUGAGUAUUCGAUUGGCAGGUGGCCACAUGGUGAAGCAGAGGAGGUUUAUCGGGAAUACCAAUAAUAAAAUGAUUAAUAUACGGGAACAUUUAUAAAUAUUUUAGAGCGAUAAUUUAAUAUAUACGAUCGAGUGCACAAAACGUUAUUUUCUCUUCACGAGCUAGGUGCGACAGUGGAUCUGUAUGCUCCUAAACGGGAUUUAUCGGGAAUUUCACGGAGCAACGGUUCAUGUUGCGAUCGCAAGACGUGUUGUCACGUGUUGUAAAGAGAGUUACAGGUUCGACAACGGAUCAUUGACAUACUUUGACAGAUUUCUACGAGCCGGAAGACCAAAAGUGCUGGAUCCGCGCGGAUCUAGAUGUGAUUGCAUUUGUGAUUCGAUUUUCUUUUUAUAUUUAAUCCAGAUUUAUAGAGGAAUUUUUUUUAUUUUCUUAUUACGGUAAGUAAAAAGUCAAUACAUGACUAUUAUUCAUUCAGAAUCAUAUUUUUUUUUUUUCUAUCGGAGAUUCAGGCAAUGAAAUCACGCGAAAUCGAUAUUUCGGUGGAGUGUGCAUUCGUGUUUGCGCAACGUUGUGAAUAGCGAGAGCCGUGGGUUCCGCAAAAAAAGUCAUAGAAAGUUUUCGACAUUGGACACAUGUAGAAUGGAGAAAAGUAUAUUUUUCGAUACACAUGUGGUUCGCAUGUAUCGAAAUACCAUGCCGCAUGGAACGUAAUUGCAAUCCGUAGUGAAAACUGUUUCUGAGCAGCAAUAGUCGAUAUCCAAAGUAUUCCAAAAACUUUAUAAAAAAGAAGAAUAGAUUUAACAUUCAAUGCAGUCGCGUUUUAAGAUCCUAAUAAUACGGAAAUCUAAUAAUAGAGAAUGGUUCCGUAUGAUUAUGCGAUAAUAAAAGCGCUUAACAAAUAAAAAAAAAUGUAUUCUAACGUUUAAUAUGCUUUUUUUUUGUCACAUUGUAAUAGAGAUGUUUGAAAAUAAAAAUUUAAUGGCAGA
This is a long non-coding RNA of Formica exsecta, 1354 nucleotides long. RefSeq lists it as uncharacterized. The transcript has 3 exons. The record is from RefSeq and is a predicted model, not a curated record. NCBI's taxonomy places the organism in Eukaryota, Metazoa, Arthropoda, Insecta, Hymenoptera, Formicidae.